GCGAGGCUUGCCGAGCCGGUCAAAGGCGCCGGAUUUAGGGUCCGGUCUUUAGUAGUUCGCAGGUUCGAAUCCUGCGCCUCGCA
Molecule: transfer RNA, 83 nt
Filed under: Methanomicrobium sp.
Lineage: Archaea; Methanobacteriati; Methanobacteriota; Methanomicrobia; Methanomicrobiales; Methanomicrobiaceae
Description: tRNA-Leu
Rfam family: tRNA
About the family: Transfer RNA (tRNA) molecules are approximately 80 nucleotides in length.
Source: RNAcentral